AGCAGCCGCGGUAAUUCCAGCUCCAAUAGCGUAUAUUAAAGUUGUUGCAGUUAAAAAGCUCGUAGUUGAAUUUCGGGGUCAGUAGGUUGGUCGUGCCACCGGUACGUACUGGUCUCACUGAUUCCUCCUUCCUGAUGAGCUGUAAUGCCAUUAAUUUGGUGUUGCAGGGGAAUCUGGACUGUUACUUUAGAAAAAUUAGAGUGUUUAAAGCAGGCUAACGCUUGAAUACAUUAGCAUGGAAUAAUGAAAUAGGACGUUCGAUCCUAUUUUGUUGGUUUCUAGGAUUGACGUAAUGAUUAAUAGGGAUAGUUGGGGGCAUUAGUAUUCAAUUGUCAGAGGUGAAAUUCUUGGAUUUAUUGAAGACUAACUACUGCGAAAGCAUUUGCCAAGGAUGUUUUCAUUAAUCAAGAACGAAAGUUAGGGGAUCGAAGACGAUCAGAUACCGUCGUAGUCUUAACCAUAAACUAUGCCGACUAGGGAUCGGAUGAUGUUAAUUUUUAAUGUACUCA
RNAcentral lists this ribosomal RNA (509 nucleotides) under uncultured Glomeraceae. RNAcentral describes it as "SSU rRNA". It matches the Rfam family "Eukaryotic small subunit ribosomal RNA", at positions 569 to 1078 of the family's 1831-position model. Lineage: Eukaryota; Fungi; Glomeromycota; Glomeromycetes; Glomerales; Glomeraceae. The record is from RNAcentral.